This 74-nucleotide transfer RNA is filed under the name Brevundimonas halotolerans. It matches the Rfam family "tRNA". Rfam says of the family: Transfer RNA (tRNA) molecules are approximately 80 nucleotides in length. Their secondary structure includes four short double-helical elements and three loops (D, anti-codon, and T loops). RNAcentral also lists the same sequence under 2 other names. The record is from Rfam by way of RNAcentral. Lineage: Bacteria; Pseudomonadati; Pseudomonadota; Alphaproteobacteria; Caulobacterales; Caulobacteraceae.
CGGGGUGUAGCGCAGCCUGGUAGCGCAUCUGCUUUGGGAGCAGAGGGUCGGAGGUUCGAAUCCUCUCGCCCCGA